UACGUAGGGGGCUAGCGUUGUCCGGAAUCAUUGGGCGUAAAGCGCGUGUAGGCGGCCAGGUAGGUCUGCUGUGAAAACUCGAGGCUCAACCUCGAGACGUCGGCGGAAACCAUCUGGCUAGAGUCCGGAAGAGGAGAGUGGAAUUCCUGGUGUAGCGGUGAAAUGCGCAGAUAUCAGGAAGAACACCCGUGGCGAAGGCGGCUCUCUGGGACGGUACUGACGCUGAGGCGCGAAAGCUCGGGGAGCGAACGGG
RNAcentral lists this ribosomal RNA (253 nucleotides) under uncultured bacterium. RNAcentral describes it as "partial 16S ribosomal RNA". It matches the Rfam family "Bacterial small subunit ribosomal RNA", at positions 524 to 776 of the family's 1533-position model. The record is from RNAcentral.